UAUCAGUCUCACACUGUCACAUCUGUUGCAAAAGGGCCCUGUUUUGACACAGGGAGACUGGAAACAGCUUAUUUGCUUGCACCAUCUUAUUCCAUCUUAAUUUCUUUCAGGAGAUGCUGGCUACCCGUGCGGUCGGUGGCUAAUAACACCAGUUCACAGGCCGCGCUCACAGGCGGAGUGUGACUUCAAUCAAGCACAUGUCAGAACGUGGUCUGUGAUAGAGCGGACGUUUGGUGUCCUCAAGAGCCGGUUCCGCUGCCUUGAUAGAUCAGGAGGCAGCCUGCUGUACAGCCCCACCAAAGUGGCAAAUAUAAUCGGUGCGUGUGCUGUACUGCACAAUUUGGCGAACCGGCACGGCCUACCAGCUGAGGUGGCCGAUGACCUUGAGGACCCCGUCCAUCCACCGGAUCCUGUCCAACGUGCGGAUGCCCGAGGGAGUCAAGUCCGGGGACAAAUUGUUACUAAUUACUUUGCCUGAUCUCUGCGUGGGGAGGCCAGCACUGACAAGGAGCAAC
Molecule: long non-coding RNA, 515 nt
Organism: Xenopus tropicalis (tropical clawed frog)
Lineage: Eukaryota; Metazoa; Chordata; Amphibia; Anura; Pipidae
Exons: 3
Source: RefSeq, a predicted model, not a curated record